RNAcentral lists this ribosomal RNA (222 nucleotides) under Triticum aestivum (bread wheat). RNAcentral's name for it is "partial small subunit ribosomal RNA". The record is from RNAcentral. Lineage: Eukaryota; Viridiplantae; Streptophyta; Magnoliopsida; Poales; Poaceae.
AUGAGGGUAAUUGCAUACGGCAUUCCGGCUGACUAUGCCGAUGAGUACCUUCGCAUUGGUGAAGAUACCACAAUUGAGUCAGUGCGUAGGUUUGCCAAAGUGAUCUUCCGUGUCUUUGGUCCUGAAUAUCUUCGGGCACCCAAUGAGGAAGACACAAAAAAAUUGAUGGCAUCUAAUGAGAGAAGAGGUUGGCCUGGGAAUGUAUUGUGCCAAGUCUCGUGA